This 433-nucleotide ribosomal RNA is filed under the name uncultured bacterium. Its description in RNAcentral is "partial 16S ribosomal RNA". It matches the Rfam family "Bacterial small subunit ribosomal RNA", at positions 29 to 507 of the family's 1533-position model. The record is from RNAcentral.
AACGAACGCUGGCGGCAUGCCUAACACAUGCAAGUCGAACGAGACCUUCGGGUCUAGUGGCGCACGGGUGCGUAACGCGUGGGAACCUGCCCUUAGGUUCGGAAUAACUCCCCGAAAGGGGUGCUAAUACCGGAUAAUGUCUUCGGACCAAAGAUUUAUCGCCUUUGGAUGGGCCCGCGUUGGAUUAGCUAGUUGGUAGGGUAAAAGCCUACCAAGGCGACGAUCCAUAGCUGGUCGGAGAGGAUGAUCAGCCACACUGGGACUGCGACACGGCCCAGACUCCUACGGGAGGCAGCAGUGGGGAAUAUUGGACAAUGGGCGAAAGCGUGAUCCAGCAAUGCCGCGUGAGUGAUGAAGGCCUUAGGGUUGUAAAGCUCUUUUACCCGGGAUGAUAAUGACAGUACCGGGAGAAUAAGCUCCGGCUAACUCCGUG